GUGUUUGCUUCAGCAGCACAUAUACUAAGCAUUGGAAGGAUACAGAAAUUAGCAUAGCCCCUGCACAAGGAUCAUACACAAAUGUAUAAAGUAUUCCAUAUUUCU
Heterocephalus glaber (naked mole-rat) is the source of this 105-nucleotide small nuclear RNA. Lineage: Eukaryota; Metazoa; Chordata; Mammalia; Rodentia; Bathyergidae. The record is from Ensembl.